RNAcentral lists this transfer RNA (92 nucleotides) under Microbacterium oleivorans. RNAcentral describes it as "tRNA-Val". The record is from RNAcentral. Lineage: Bacteria; Bacillati; Actinomycetota; Actinomycetes; Micrococcales; Microbacteriaceae.
CCGAGUGGAUGGACCGGCGGUUCACCCUCGUCGACACCGGCGGCUGGGAGCACGACGCCAAGGGCAUCGAUCGUUCCGUCGCCGCGCAGGCC